AGAGUUUGAUCCUGGCUCAGGAUGAACGCUGGCGGCGUGCCUAACACAUGCAAGUCGAACGAAGCUUGACUGAUGAUUUUCUUCGGAAUGAAACCAGAUAUGACUUAGUGGCGGACGGGUGAGUAACACGUGAGCAACCUGCCUUUCAGGAGGGGGAUAACGGCUGGAAACGGUCGCUAAUACCGCAUGAUGUGUUCGGAUGGCAUCAUCUGAACAUCAAAGAUUUAUCGCUGAAAG
Molecule: ribosomal RNA, 237 nt
Filed under: uncultured bacterium
Lineage: Bacteria
Description: partial 16S ribosomal RNA
Rfam family: Bacterial small subunit ribosomal RNA
Source: RNAcentral